Molecule: unclassified non-coding RNA, 262 nt
Filed under: plant metagenome
Description: partial contains small subunit ribosomal RNA, internal transcribed spacer 1, and 5.8S ribosomal RNA
Source: RNAcentral
UUUCCGCAGGUGAACCUGCGGAAGGAUCAUUAUUGUAUAACCGAGGUGCGAGGGCUGUCGCUGACCCGAAAGGUCGUGCACGCCCGAGUGCCCUCACACACAUCCAUCUCACCCCUAUGUGCACCACCGCGUGGGUCCCCCUUUGGCUUGUUCGGAGGGGGGCUUACGUUUUCACACAAACUUUGUAUGCAGUGUAGAAUGUAUUUUUUGUUUUUGCGAUCACGCAAUCAAUACAACUUUCAACAACGGAUCUCUUGGCUCU